GUGAAUCAUCAAAUUUUUGAACGCAAAUUGCACUCUCCUCGGAGAGUAUGCCUGUUUGAGGGUCAGCCUAUAAAAAAUCGACAUCGUUGCUGUUUCGCGGUGACGUUCGUCGGAAAUUGGGUCAUCUUAAAUCCUUUUGGUUUUAAGCGACUUAAAAUUUCCUUUUUGUUUCAUGAAAGGUUCCUAAGUUUAUUUUCUUAACAGGUUAAAGUAUUC
Molecule: unclassified non-coding RNA, 216 nt
Filed under: Glomus sp.
Lineage: Eukaryota; Fungi; Glomeromycota; Glomeromycetes; Glomerales; Glomeraceae
Description: partial contains 5.8S ribosomal RNA and internal transcribed spacer 2
Rfam family: 5.8S ribosomal RNA (bases 1-65)
Source: RNAcentral